GAGAGAGUGGAGAGGGGGCACUUAAAGGGGUCUGUCCCUGCACCACAGUCAGGUUACUACAACCCUGGAGAUGUGUGUGUGGACCCUGCUCUGGGUGUGGACACCACACUCACCCUGCCGAAGUCUGCAUCCUAACCGCCCUGCAGCCCAGCUCCUGUCACUGAUAAAGCAGGGAGCUAAGGUGCCCUCUGGUGGGACCUUUCCCAGCACCCAAGAGCCCCUUGUUCUCUGGGUCUUCUGCCAUUUCCUUCAAGAGGCCCUGAGUCCCUCCCCCAUGGCAUAACCAAGGCAGCCUGAUGAGAUCCAGGGGUCCAAAUCUGAGGCUGUUGGGGUGGCCCUGCGCCCCCACCCCCCGGCAAUCAGCUUCCAUCCAAAAAUAAACAGAGGUCUUGAUUGAGAAGACAGCGACACUGAGGUGCAGGGGUGGCCUGGUGGAAAGCAGCCAAAGCCUGCUGUGCCUUCCAGGGCUGUUGGUCACAGAGGUGCUUCGAAGGAGGCCAUCAAGGAGGAAUCCACAGGACCUGCUUCUCAUCAGCAGGGGGGUGUGUGGAGAAAGACCCAUGUCACCUUGCAAAGGGUCAAUGUCUGAACACCUUAGGAAGCAGGAUUAAUUCUUUGAAAUUCUCAUAAAUUUUCCCGAUUUAGUCAGCAAAUGUUUAUGGAGUCCUCUGUGCCAGGCGCCAGGUGGUAGAGAAGGACCGAGCUGUGCAGCCACCGCAGUCAGUUGGACAACAUUACUGAGGUAUCACUUACAGACCAUAAAGUCUGCCCAUUCUAAGUGUGCUGCUUGGUGAGUUUCAGUUAAUUUACAGAGCUGUGUGGUCAUCCUAUAGCCCAGCCUCAGAGGUCUCCUGCCCCCUGUGACUCUUCAGUCUGCCGCCCUUUGUCCCCUCACCCCAGCACCACUACUCUGCUUUCCAUCUCCAGAGUUGUAUCUUUUUUUAAGUAUUUCUGUAAAAAUGGAAUCAGGUACUGUAUAGCUUUCUGCAUCUGACUUUUUCCUUGGCGUGGUAAAAAAGUUGACUUGAGGUUGGUUAUCCUCGACUAGACCCGGGUCAGCUAGCUCCUUCUGGGAAGGUUUUGUGGACUCCACAGUCUCUGUCACAAAUGCUCAGCCCCACUGCAACUCUUAGGUAGUAACUGGUAAUGACACGCACAGCAAGGUCACAGGUGUUCUUUAAGUUACUUUUAGAGUCUUUAAACAACUUUCAAAGCAGAUGAGAAAACAACAGCUAAUGGAUAACCUAUAGAAAAACACCGAGUACCCAGAUCUUGAGAAUAAACAAAUAGAAGGGAACGGAGCUCAUUGGAGAAAUACGUCAAGAAAGGGACUAACUGUUGACUGGGUCCACUGAGGUCAGCGAAAAGCUAGGAGUUAGGGCCAUCAGCGCCUCCAUAUAUCUUGGAAAGGAAGUUUCUUUAGAGGCGCAGGCACACUAAGACAACUUGUGACCGGCCACUGACCCCAAUACCCACAUUAACAUAGAAUUGACUUGUAGAUGAAGCCCCCUGAAUAGGGUGGCCACCAUGACAGCUCCAGAGAGGACCAAUUAGGGUCAAAAACUCCUCUGACCCACACGAAGGAGGAUUUUUACACCUGAUUGGCAGAGUGAAGAAGGUGGACUCCAAUUCUCAGAGCAGCCGUAAAACAGCAAUAAAUUUGGGGAGGCAUUGUUACUCUUUCUCUGCUCUGAGAUGACCCACUCUCUUGAGAGUGCUCUCUGCUUGAACCUUACUCGGCUUUUACUUUACUUUCUCUUAUGAUCUCUUGCAUGACGUUGGGUGGCAGACUUCCAAUUUUCUUUCAUCAGGACACCAGAACUGAGGUUUGCAGCUUCAGCUCCCCACUCUCCAGUGACAUCUAACCUGGUGCCUGGACUUGGAUUGACAGCCAUCGACAGAACAGGGCCACUACGGCGGCACUGGGACUCCUCCGCUGUUGAGGCUGUCAUCUGAUGGUGUAUACCUGACUCUCUUCAGGAAGGACACCAUCACCUUCUAUUAGAGGCCAUAUCCAGAAUCUGGAGGGACCUCUAGCCCUGAAGACAUCUGCCGUCAUUGCAGAAAACCAGGACACUGGAAGAAAGAUUGCCCGAUUAAGGGCAAAGCUUCCAAAGACUCCUUGCCCUGAGUGAGGCAGGAGAGGCCGCUGGCAAGCUGACUGCCCUCAGGGCUGAAGGGGCUUCGAUCAGACACUCUCCAAGUGAUGGCCCAAGAAUGAGGAGGCCUUCAGAACUGGUCGGCAGCCCAGUCACCGUCACCAUCAGUAGGGCUACACCGAGGGUAAUUCUGGAGGUCUGGCUCUAUUGCCCAGGCUGGCCUUGAACUCCUGGGCUCAAGUGACCCUCCUGCCUCAGCCUACAACUGCUUUCACCUCCCAAGUGGCAAGGACUCCAGACACCACAGCAGGUGUGUUUGUCUUUAUUUUAUAGCCCCUUUGAUUGGCCCUUUUAUUACCAUCAUUUUUUUUAAAGUCUCUUCUCCUUUAAAUCGACUUAAUUGAAAUUUAAUGUACAUGAAAUGAGAUGGUUCCAAUUUAAGGUACAUAUUUUGGCAAGUAUAUACAGUUGUGUAAUCACAACCACAGCAAGACAGAGGACGUUUCCGUUACCCGAGAGGUUUUCUAGGCUUCCCCACCCUCAGCCUCAGCCCUGGGCAAACCCCAGAUCUGCCUUCUGUCACUGUAAAUCAGACUCAGCUCUCUAGCUUUAGUCUCAUCAGUGGGAUCAUGCAGCAUGAGCUCUUGUAUCUGAGUUUUGAGACACCCACGUUGCCUACAUAAUAGUUUGUUCCAUUUUUAUUGCUUGAGUGGUGUGCGCUGCAUGGAUUUGCCACAGUUUCCGUCUGCUUACCAGCCAAGGGAGAGUUGAGUUUUCCAGUUCCACUUUGAGCAAUGCUGUUUUAAGCAUUCCUGUGUAUUAGUGUGGGCAGGCAUUUUCAUUAAACUUGGGCAGUGUCAUGGUUUAGAUAUGAGGUGUCCCCCAAAAGCUCACGUGUAAAACAAUGCAGAAUUUUCAGAGGUGAAAUGAAUAAAUUACAAGAGGUGUAACCCAAUCUGUGAAUUAAGCCCCUGAUAGGAACUAACUGGGCAGUAACUGUAGGCAGGAGGGAUGUGGCUCAGAGAAGUGGUUCACUGGGAGCGUGACUUGGGGGAUUAUAAGCAGAGCUAGCUCUCUGCUUCCUAUUACCAUGUCCUGAGCUGCUUUCCUCUGUCACAGCAUUCUGUCUCACCUCCAGCCCCAGCUAUGGAGUCCAUCCAUCAUGGACUGAACCUCUGAAACUGUGAGCCAGAAUAAACUUUUCCUCCUCUAUGUUGUUCUUGUCAGGUCUUUUGGUCUCAGUGAUGCAAAGCUGACUAAAACAGUCAGGUAGCUAGGAGUAGGACUGCUGGAUGACGACGUAUGUUUUUGGAGUUUUUUUGUUGUUGUUGUUGGUUGUUUUUUUUGUUUUGUUUUGGUUUUUUU
Ictidomys tridecemlineatus (thirteen-lined ground squirrel) is the source of this 3464-nucleotide non-coding RNA. NCBI's taxonomy places the organism in Eukaryota, Metazoa, Chordata, Mammalia, Rodentia, Sciuridae. The record is from RefSeq and is a predicted model, not a curated record.